This 425-nucleotide ribosomal RNA is filed under the name uncultured bacterium. Its description in RNAcentral is "partial 16S ribosomal RNA". It matches the Rfam family "Bacterial small subunit ribosomal RNA", at positions 354 to 796 of the family's 1533-position model. The record is from RNAcentral.
GUGGGGAAUAUUGCACAAUGGGGGAAACCCUGAUGCAGCGACGCCGCGUGGAGGAUGACGGCCUUCGGGUUGUAAACUCCUUUUGUCAGGGACAAUGGUGAUGGUACCUGACGAAUAAGCCACGGCUAACUCUGUGCCAGCAGCCGCGGUAAGACAGAGGUGGCGAGCGUUGUUCGGAAUUACUGGGCUUAAAGGGCGCGUAGGCGGUGGUGUAAGUCUGGGGUGGAAUGCUACAGCUCAACUGUAGAGCUGCCUUGGAAACUGCAUUACUUGAGUCGGUGAGGGGAAGGCGGAAUUCCUGGUGUAGCGGUGAAAUGCGUAGAUAUCAGGAGGAAGGUCUGUGGCGAAGGCGGCCUUCUGGCACUUGACUGACGCUGAGGCGCGAAAGCGUGGGGAGCAAACAGGAUUAGAAACCCUUGUAGUCC